Molecule: long non-coding RNA, 981 nt
Organism: Poecile atricapillus (Black-capped chickadee)
Lineage: Eukaryota; Metazoa; Chordata; Aves; Passeriformes; Paridae
Exons: 3
Source: RefSeq, a predicted model, not a curated record
CCUCUUUCAUCUCAAGACUUCUGAAGCUUCUCCAGAAAUGUUCCUGCCUUUGACCUGACACUGGACCUGCUCUAGCCACUGAAGCUAUUCAAGGCCUGAUCUUCCAUUUCAUUGGAUGGGGAAACUCCCCGGGCUGUCUCCAGACUCUUCCCAGUAAACAUUCUGCACUGGAAGAUUAUGAAAAUAGCAUGCAAUACAUGCUUCUCUACUGAAUCAGCCACCAACUAUAAAGUCGAUUCAGAGUUACAGAGAAGCCUCUGAGUUAAAGUCGGCCCUGAAAAAGGAAGCAUCUGGUUCAGCUGUGUGGAUAUCACUUUGGAAUUCUGGAGUUCCAGGGCUCCCCAAUCCCACAACAGCCUGCACUGGGUGGCCCUGCCUCUCCUGCUCAGCUUGCAGAAUGAAAUUAAAUGUAUUCAUCAGCCUAGCCUCUGUAAACUUACAGUAAACAAAACUUGUUUGAAAUGACAGAAUACUACCCUGCCAUUUUCCAUAAAAAUGAAACAGACCACAAAACCAAAGGAUAUUCCAGCACAUACAAAUUUAUCAUCGCCAACAGCAAUGUGACAUGAUAAUGUGGGUACCCCUAUACUGGAUAACAUGAUGAUACCACAGUUAAGACUUGGAAAAAGCCUGCUCCUGCCUAAGAGAACUUCUGAACAAUUUAUCCAUCCGUAUGACAUCUCUCUAAGACACUAACACCUUAUGAACUUAAUUUUGCUGGUAAGAAAAAAUAUACUAGUUACAUUUCAGUACUUUGCUACAGUAACUUGAUUAUGCACUUCCCUGAAAAAAGGAGAGAAGGGGGUGAGACAGCAUCCUUUCUAAUGCUUGCAUUAUGUAGGCUGUCAUGUCUUUACAGUGUUCAUUGUUACUGAAGACCUAUGCUUGAGAUUUCCUCUGUGUGGUCCAAGACUUAAAUAUGCUUUAUCUCACUUUUGUAUUUAGGUGAUUUGAAACACCAGAAAUAUCUAAAUCUUGCAA